GUGAGAAGGUGCCAAUGGUGCUGUUU
This 26-nucleotide non-coding RNA is filed under the name Rattus norvegicus (Norway rat). Lineage: Eukaryota; Metazoa; Chordata; Mammalia; Rodentia; Muridae. The record is from RNAcentral.